RNAcentral lists this ribosomal RNA (327 nucleotides) under uncultured eukaryote. Its description in RNAcentral is "partial 18S ribosomal RNA". It matches the Rfam family "Eukaryotic small subunit ribosomal RNA", at positions 1470 to 1796 of the family's 1831-position model. The record is from RNAcentral.
CCCUUAGAUGUUCUGGGCCGCACACGCGCUACACUGAAGGAGGCAGCGUGUACUCCUGGAUCGAAAGAUUUGGGUAACCCGCGAAUCUCCUUCGUGCUAGGGAUUGAGGUUUGCAAUUAUCCUUCAUGAACGAGGAAUUCCCAGUAAGUGCAAGUCAUAAGCUUGCGCUGACUACGUCCCUGCCCUUUGUACACACCGCCCGUCGCUACUACCGAUUGAAUGAUUUAGUGAGGACUUCGGACUGGGACCGAUGCGGCUUUCGGGCUGCGUCGGUAUUCUGGAAAGAUGUCCAAACUGUAUCAUUUAGAGGAAGUAAGAGUCGUAACA